This 496-nucleotide ribosomal RNA is filed under the name Photobacterium damselae. RNAcentral describes it as "bacterial SSU rRNA". It matches the Rfam family "Bacterial small subunit ribosomal RNA", at positions 1 to 475 of the family's 1533-position model. The record is from RNAcentral. Lineage: Bacteria; Pseudomonadati; Pseudomonadota; Gammaproteobacteria; Vibrionales; Vibrionaceae.
UUAAUUGAAGAGUUUGAUCAUGGCUCAGAUUGAACGCUGGCGGCAGGCCUAACACAUGCAAGUCGAGCGGCAGCGACUUAACUGAACCUUCGGGGAACGUUAAGGGCGGCGAGCGGCGGACGGGUGAGUAAUGCCUGGGAAUAUGCCCUGAUGUGGGGGAUAACUAUUGGAAACGAUAGCUAAUACCGCAUAAUCUCUUCGGAGCAAAGAGGGGGACCUUCGGGCCUCUCGCGUCAGGAUUAGCCCAGGUGGGAUUAGCUUGUUGGUGAGGUAAUGGCUCACCAAGGCAACGAUCCCUAGCUGGUCUGAGAGGAUGAUCAGCCACACUGGAACUGAGACACGGUCCAGACUCCUACGGGAGGCAGCAGUGGGGAAUAUUGCACAAUGGGGGAAACCCUGAUGCAGCCAUGCCGCGUGUGUGAAGAAGGCCUUCGGGUUGUAAAGCACUUUCAGUAGGGAGGAAGGUAGUGUAGUUAACACCUGCAUUAUUUGACGU